GGCCCCUUCGUCUAUCGGUAGGACGGGAGAUUCUCAUUCUUCAAAGAGGGGUUCAACUCCCCUAGGGGCUA
This 71-nucleotide transfer RNA is filed under the name Spirochaetales bacterium. Its description in RNAcentral is "tRNA-Glu". It matches the Rfam family "tRNA". From Rfam's summary of the family: Transfer RNA (tRNA) molecules are approximately 80 nucleotides in length. Their secondary structure includes four short double-helical elements and three loops (D, anti-codon, and T loops). Lineage: Bacteria; Pseudomonadati; Spirochaetota; Spirochaetia; Spirochaetales. The record is from RNAcentral.